Molecule: RNA transcript, 1694 nt
Organism: Paramacrobiotus metropolitanus
Lineage: Eukaryota; Metazoa; Tardigrada; Eutardigrada; Parachela; Macrobiotidae
Exons: 6
Source: RefSeq, a predicted model, not a curated record
UAAAAAAAUAAACUGUAAAGCCUUAAGUUAAAUAUUAAACGUAAUAGGCAUGUAGAUGCUAGCGAUGAUCGUAGUCCCUUUCAUAUGGACAGAAAUGACAGAACUACAAAUAAGCUAUUCCCAUACGAACAAUUCCCAGGAUAUUGCGGUGUUGGGACUACACUCACUGCAGCGGUUUAAGAACAUCGAUCCUGAAGCGGAACCACUGGAACUGGCCGAUAGUUAUGCAUCUGACAUCAUCGUGGUCAGUGUCAGCGAGCAGCCACCGUGGAGCUUUGAGAGUCCGCCGGGUUCUGGAUGUUUUUGUGGAAUAUCGAUAUCCGUGCUGAAUCUAGUGGGCAAACAACUUGGACUGCGGUUUAAAGUGCGCACGGAAAACCCGACCCUGUACGCAACGACUCAGUUGGACGGCGCCAAAUACAGCGGCUCUCCAGCUGAACUGUUGCUAGGACGUGUCAAUAUCAGCAUUGCGUCGUUAGCCAUUACCUCCGAGCGGAAGAACAGUUUCGAUAUGGUCACCGGAAACCUGGUGCGAACCACCAAGAUUUCGGUGCAUGAAAGUUGGCUAACCGAUUCCGGCUACGCUACCCAGUCCAUACUGGACGCUCUUUUUGAUAAAGCCAUGACCAAUGCGUGGGUGAUACUUGUGUUGGCUGCAGCAUUUACCGUUGCAACGCUAUGUUUAGCGCAUCGCCCAAAGGACAAGGAAAACCGAUGCACAAAACUGUCCACCACGGAAUUGGCACUGAAUGCAUUAGCUGUUGCUUGGUCAGUAGCCGGCAGUUUCUUAGGUCAAGAUGACGUUCGACGCCCGCGGCACAGUGUCGGCGUAUCGAUAGCAGUCGCUGUCUGGCUGUUGUGCUUGUACUUUGGCACGUCGUGGAUUCUGGGCAAUAUCAGUUCCAGUCUGGCUGCGUCCGUAAUGGCAUUGCCUUUCUCCACUAUCGCGCAGUUUGUUCAGUCGGAUUUUCGUCCGGUAGUGUUACGAGAACGCUCCCCCGUAGAAUUUAUGGUACAGUUCGACAUCGGCCCAGCUGAUGUUGCAGGAAGGAAGAGGACUGGAGCCGUUACGUCAGAGGAUACGGCGCUUUGAUUUUUUCACUACGGAUGAAUCGAUCAAAGUGGUCGGCAUUCUGUCACAAACCGAACGGCUUGCCGUAUAUGAAAGCAAUGACGGGGCAGCAAUGUACAGCAAAGCAGGCUUUGUUCCGGCCAUUAAUCAUGUCUACGAAAGAUUUAUCUCCAUGUUCCAGAUGUUACACGGGUCACCAUUGGCAUCUCGUAUAAGCGAUACAGUAAGCUGGAUGUCGUUUACCGGCAGCAUCGAUCCUGUUAUCAAUGUAUAUAUGGAGAUUAUCCAUGCAGCGUACGGUAUUCCUCGCGUCCCACGCUCGACAUUACUUAAAAAGCGUACAAAUUCCAUCGGCAUACGGAGCCUUACAUCGACCAUCUAUGUGUAUUUCGGAUUUCUAAGUGUUGCCGUGAUGAUUUUCUGUAUUGAACUGUGUUACGCAAAAUACUCCGAGAGAAAAGACUGCAAUACCGCCAAUCAAACUGCCAACACGAGAAUGUUUUUCAGAACUGAAUAGACAGAACAGAUGCUUGGUAAAUACGUUAUACAAAUACUUGUACAUAUACGUUAUUGAUUUUCGUACUCUAGUGCAUACUCCACUAGAAAAAAGUAAAACUAGUCU